CAAUAUUCACAUAAAUAUAUGUAUUUGUAUGCACAUGCACGUAUAUAUGGAAGUAUAUAUGCAUGAACACAUGCAAUUUUGUGUACACAUAUGUAUAUGUGUAUACAUAUACAUAUAUGUGUGUGCACACGCGCUCAUGUGUAUGC
This 146-nucleotide small RNA is filed under the name Marmota monax (woodchuck). The record is from RNAcentral. Lineage: Eukaryota; Metazoa; Chordata; Mammalia; Rodentia; Sciuridae.